CAGUACAGGAAUUGAACUCGUACUGUUGGUGUCACUCUGCAUUGCAAACCAGCCAUCUAGCCAAGUGAGUUAACCUAUACCUGUGCUAACAGGGGUGGUGAAUACCAAGGUGCCAGGAGUGGUUGUCUGGUAAAGUACCUCAUAGUUGCAGUGAUAUGGAUCUGACACCCUUGCAUAAGGAGAAGAAAUCCACAAGACCCAGAAGAAAAUAAAUUGCAAAAAAGCCACAGGAUAGGUGCCAGGAGGACUGGAAGGCAGGAAGUGCAGUAGCACAGAUCGCGAAGUGCAGUGUUAUGAUGGAGUUAAAGCGGCAGAAGUCUGGAGAGAGCACAAGGGGACUGCUGGGAAGAACUUUACUUCAAACAGUGCUGUGACAUAGUCUUACCUGUGCUGCUGUUCAAAGAUCCACAUCUAGGGGGAAUUAAAAAAAAAACAUCUAGCUGAAUCCAGAGAGUCAUCUGACACCCAGUGUGUUUUAAAACUUCAGAAAUGGACAACCCAGAGGAAAAAAGCAAAGCAAGUGUCACAAAAUCAACUUUGAAGAGCCAUAAACAGAAAUAGAGAUGCUUCACAAUACUUCCUCCUUGCACUCAACGCCUUCAAACAUCAUUGUCCACUAGUAGGAAAUGGUUUGAUGACAGAUAACAUCAAAUGUAUAAGCUUCCCCCUUUUGUCACCAUAGAUAAUGUUCACAAAAAAGGUUCACACUACACAGUACUGUUAUAGAAGCAACUGCAGUAUGACACAAAUAUCGUUUGCUGUUUCAAAAUUACUUUUAGAUUACAUAUGUGGAUGAAGCCUGUCUGUGGGUUCACUUAAGCUGUAGUAAUAAGUAGCCUUUUUUGGAAAAGAUCAUUUGUCUUUUUUUUGCCAAAAGUACAAUUCUCCUGUCACAUUGUAAUUUUAUUCAUAGCUCAAAGACUAUACCAAUGGAGCUGACAAAGCUUGAAUGCAGCUUUGACAGUAAUGGGUGCUUUCACACGAUAAUGAUACAUAAAAUUACAUAGCACUCAGUGGUAACAUUAAUGUUGAGAAACUGGCACACAGCUGCAAUUCAUUAAGCCACAUUUUACUUAAGAUCCCAAGGUUACAAAUCAGCACUGAAAAUGGAUACUGUCCUCUAGCACCUUAACAAUAUCCUAAAUUUCACUUAUGAAGAUGUGCUCACUAAGAUAAAAUCAUCUGAAAUGAACUAUGAUCCUACUAUAUCUCCAAUGACUAAGAAUUAUAUACUUGUGGAAUGUGGCCCACAUUUUUUUUUUUAAUUGUUCAUGAAAACACAAUUUCUUACUGGAUAACUGGUUAUAGAGCUGCUUAAGGAUUCUGCACCAGAUAAACAACUUGCAGUUCUAAUUUAAAUGCUUGUCUUGACUGGUUUUCUAUUGCUAUUUACUCCUGCAUUUUGUUUUAGGACAUGGACAGGCUGCUGAAUGAAAAUUUUACUGAAGUGGGGUGGUAUCUCUUAAACAAGGAAGUCUUAAGAUUAUGUAGUGUCACAAUUUGAGCCAAAGGGAUACAAUCCUGAUCAACCUGUUCAAAGAUGUUAUGACACCACUGGAGCAGGUAGCAUUUGAACCUGGGCCUCCUGGCUCAGAGGUAGACAGUAAACUACUGCCAUGCCACAAGCACCCUAAAGCUGAGGGCAUGAAGGGAGAGUACUUAAAUAAGUUGUAAGCUAUAUUACGAGGGUGACACCAGCUGCAGUUCUUCACAUUUGAUGCACGAUAUUGAGUUCAACUAGCACUUCCUCCUCGUUAAAUUGUUAAAACCGGAUUACAGCAAACAGGAAAUGCAAAUACUUUCACAGCCUUAGUACAAAGUUCACCACAGAUCAUCGUGAAAUUCUGUUUAUUAAUUUGAAAUGCAACUUGGAGUUUUGCUUAUAAUGCUCAUUUAAAAUUUCAGUUUCAAAGCUACAUUGUCUUAAAUUCAAAUAAAAGUUGAAGAAAUGA
Molecule: long non-coding RNA, 1952 nt
Organism: Rhincodon typus (whale shark)
Lineage: Eukaryota; Metazoa; Chordata; Chondrichthyes; Orectolobiformes; Rhincodontidae
Exons: 4
Source: RefSeq, a predicted model, not a curated record